CUUCGGAUUCCACCUCAACAUUUUAUUUUCUUUUCUUUUAAUUGGUAAUUAAUUUGGAGUUGUUUCAUAUGUUUAAUUUUUGUUUUGGUGGAAACUGGAAUUUGGAAAGGAUAAAAUUAGGAAAGGGGUUGAGGGAAAUUGGGGAAAAUUCUUUAAUUUUAGGGGUUUAGCAAUUUAUCAAUGUUGAAUUUCAUCAAUCAAGCUGGAAUGCUGAUUAGCUGCAUAUAUCAUACACCCUGUAGUUUAAGAGCUAAGAUGUAAAUUGUUAAAAUUUUAGCUGUUUGGGGAAGCAUAUUUUGUAGAUGGCAAAAGAGGGUAAAGUUUGGCAAUAUGAUAUCAUGGGAUGAAAUGAUGAAUCACAAUCGAGGCGAAGAUAAGAAAGAAAUAUACAAGAAUUCCAGUCUGAAUCUUCUAAAAAUUUCUUGGUGCUUGAUGUUUUCUUCUUAUGAAGAGAUUGAGGUUUUUUUUGGGGUUCUUUUUGCACUUGUCUCACCUCUUAUAUUUUCUUUUCCCUUGCAAAAUUAUCCUUACAUUCAAAAUAGCAAAAUUUAAAUCUUAUAAAUAUGUUAACUUGGAAUUAAGGCUGUUCUGCCUAUGAUGGAAGCUCCAAAGUUUUUAAAAAGAUAAAAAAAAAAAAAGUACUUUUUAUUGGAAUCUGCAUAAUUAUGGGUACUAGUUGUCAGAAUUAUUCCUCCUGCUUCAGUAUAGUCAAAAGAAAUCGAAUCUUGCAAAACAUAUUCUGAAAUUUAACUCCAAUUAUUCCCCCUGCUUCAGUCUAGUCAAAAGAAAUUGAUUCUCGCAAAGCAUAUCGUGAAAUUUAAGUUGACUCCUUUUUCUGACAAUAGGCUUAUCUUUGAUUAAAGUCAUGCUAGGAGAAUAAAUUGCUUAAGUUCAAACAUUGUAUCUGUACUGAAAACUUACUAUUUCUUUUCCCCUUAUUUCUAAAUCUCUGUUUAUAAUAGAAGCAUGUUCUUUAUUCUAUCAUUAAUAUUUCUUUUCCAUUUAGUGUUUUUCAAAAUCAAUGUUUAUCCUGGAAGCUAUUGGGUAGUAUGCAGAGAGAGGCUAAAGUUUAUACUGGAAAAGUUAUGUGAAUUAUCUAUUCUAGUGGUUUGUGUUCCAAAUGGCCAAAUGGGAAUGUGGAAUCUGAAAUAGUAAGCAGAAGAAUACCUCGGGAGCUCUUUAUGUCACUGAAAUAUUUCUCGAGGUUUUAAAAAAAAAUUAUGAAGAGUGCAAUAUGAUACUCCGUAUGUUCUUUAUGUGAUUUAGAAUUUGGGAAAGAUGAGAAGCACAUAUAACUGAAUUGAGACUGUAAAAAUGGUUGCGUUGCAAGGUGAGGAUGAAUAGAAUGUGGAAAGCAUACAAAGAUAAGAUAAUAAGAUGCUUUGGGCUUAUUGAAAAUAGUCUAGUCAGAACCAACUUGGUUGGCGUGAGUGGUCGUGCACUCUUGACCGUUAAGAGAGGUCGGGAAUUCGAACCCCCUCUCGUAUGGAAAAAUUAAUCUGGCCAGCACAUUGCCCCUUAAUUGGGCCGGCUCGGUGUGAACGGGGUACGGGUUUAAAAGUGCCUCCUACAAUUAGGGCCUGCUGGACACCUCGUGGUCUGACCAAAAAA
Long non-coding RNA from Ipomoea nil (Japanese morning glory), 1611 nucleotides. RefSeq lists it as uncharacterized. The transcript is spliced from 2 exons. Lineage: Eukaryota; Viridiplantae; Streptophyta; Magnoliopsida; Solanales; Convolvulaceae. The record is from RefSeq and is a predicted model, not a curated record.